GACGAACGCUGGCGGCGUGCUUAACACAUGCAAGUCGAACGGAAAGGCCCUGCUUUUGUGGGGUGCUCGAGUGGCGAACGGGUGAGUAACACGUGAGUAACCUGCCCUUGACUUUGGGAUAACUUCAGGAAACUGGGGCUAAUACCGGAUAGGAGCUCCUGCUGCAUGGUGGGGGUUGGAAAGUUUCGGCGGUUGGGGAUGGACUCGCGGCUUAUGAGCUUGUUGGUGGGGUAGUGGCUUACCAAGGCUUUGACGGGUAGCCGGCCUGAGAGGGUGACCGGCCACAUUGGGACUGAGGUACGGCCCAGACUCCUACGGGAGGCAGCAGGGGGGAAUAUUGCACAAUGGGCGGAAGCCUGAUGCAGCAACGCCGCGUGCGGGAUGACGGGCUUCGGGGUGUAAACCGCUUUCGCCUGUGACGAAGCGUGAGUGACGGUAAUGGGUAAAGAAGCACCGGCUAACUACGUG
Molecule: ribosomal RNA, 468 nt
Filed under: uncultured bacterium
Lineage: Bacteria
Description: partial 16S ribosomal RNA
Rfam family: Bacterial small subunit ribosomal RNA
Source: RNAcentral